RNAcentral lists this ribosomal RNA (306 nucleotides) under Triticum aestivum (bread wheat). RNAcentral describes it as "partial small subunit ribosomal RNA". The record is from RNAcentral. Lineage: Eukaryota; Viridiplantae; Streptophyta; Magnoliopsida; Poales; Poaceae.
UCAAAUUUGUUAAAAAAAUCAUUAAAGAGGGUCAUAGCUAAUUCAACUUGCAGUCAAUUGGGCUAUAUGAUCUUUGCUUGCGGCAUCUCUAACUAUUCGGUUAGUGUCUUUCACUUAAUGAAUCAUGCGUUUUUCAAAGCAUUAUUCUUCCUGAGUGCGGGUUCGGUGAUUCAUGCCAUGUCUGGUGAGCAAGAUAUGUUGAAAGGGGGGUGGGGGGGCUUGCCUCCUCCUUUCCUUCUUUCCUUUGACAGUUUGACCUAUGCCAUGAUGCUCAUGGGCGUUGACUCUUUUUUAUAUAUUUUUUAA